GGAGUCUUCUCCCUCCUCCAACACGUCGCUAGGAAAUGCCUCUGCUUUCCGUCCUGCUCUAGGGCAGGCAGUAAGCUUUAGCUGAGAACACAUUUGGAGAUGUGUGAACGAGUGAACCAAGUGUAUCCUGGAAGCACCAGCCCAUGCCUGCUCCUGCAGAGCCUGUGAAAGCCCAGCAAACUUUUUGGGGACUGACGCAGAGGACCAGAGCUAUCACCAGCUGGAUUUGGGGCUUUGGUGGCAUACAUGCAAGGGAGAUAAAUGACUCUUAUUUUGUUCUUAGGAGCUGUUUCCUUCACAGAAAUUUCUGACAAAACUGCACUGAAGGAAUUAAACUCGGGAAGUCAGCUCGUGAUGGUCCAGGGACUAAGAGAAAAAGAAUGUGAAGAUCAGCAGUCCAACGGCCAACACUAAAAAUGCUCUGGACUUAGGGAGUGCCGCCUGUCUCAGUGUGACCCAGGACCCGAGGGGCCCA
Kogia breviceps (pygmy sperm whale) is the source of this 475-nucleotide non-coding RNA. NCBI's taxonomy places the organism in Eukaryota, Metazoa, Chordata, Mammalia, Artiodactyla, Physeteridae. The record is from RefSeq and is a predicted model, not a curated record.